AAAUUCACCUAAAUUAGGGUAGGGUUUUCUCACAAAUGGCAUGGCAUAGUAAUGGUAUGGUAUAGCUAGAAAAAUGAUUUUUUAUUUUAUUUUGUUCUUGGUGUAUUUCAAAUCAAACCCACUCAACAAGCCUUUUACUUAAUUGGGUAAUAUAUAUUUAUAUAUGGAUCUAUUUCUUUCAGGUGAUUCUAUUUGAAGUUAUAUAGGAAGGAUUUGUUACUGUGUAAAUAUUAUUUGCUUCUUCAUCACAAGCCAUGAUCGUCAUCACAACCAUUUCACAUGAUUAAAAACCUAAAGUCAACAAGAGAAUCCAUUUAACACAACUU
This 326-nucleotide long non-coding RNA is filed under the name Actinidia chinensis (golden kiwifruit). RNAcentral describes it as "long non-coding RNA (ACHI_LNC004730)". The record is from RNAcentral. Lineage: Eukaryota; Viridiplantae; Streptophyta; Magnoliopsida; Ericales; Actinidiaceae.